Molecule: non-coding RNA, 443 nt
Filed under: Shewanella mangrovi
Lineage: Bacteria; Pseudomonadati; Pseudomonadota; Gammaproteobacteria; Alteromonadales; Shewanellaceae
Description: Bacterial large subunit ribosomal RNA
Rfam family: Bacterial large subunit ribosomal RNA
Source: Rfam by way of RNAcentral
CCGCCCAAGAGUUCAUAUCGACGGCGGUGUUUGGCACCUCGAUGUCGGCUCAUCACAUCCUGGGGCUGAAGUCGGUCCCAAGGGUAUGGCUGUUCGCCAUUUAAAGUGGUACGCGAGCUGGGUUCAGAACGUCGUGAGACAGUUCGGUCCCUAUCUGCCGUGGGCGUUGGAUGAUUGAGAGGGGCUGCUCCUAGUACGAGAGGACCGGAGUGGACGAACCGCUGGUGUUCGGGUUGUGAUGCCAAUCGCAUUGCCCGGUAGCUACGUUCGGAAUCGAUAACCGCUGAAAGCAUCUAAGCGGGAAGCGAGCCUCAAGAUGAGUCAUCCCUUAGACUAUAAGUCUACUAAAGAGCCGUUCAAGACCAGGACGUAGAUAGGCAGGGUGUGUAAGCGUUGUGAGGCGUUUAGCUAACCUGUACUAAUGACUCGUGCGGCUUAACCAU